UUGCAAACAAGAUCACUAGCCCAGCGUGUUGUUGCUGAAGCAAGGGGAACAUGUUUGCUAAAGUAACAGUGGCUAUAGAAGGGCAGCCUAAGAAAAAUUAAUUUUCAGGCUAAAGCUUCUAUACCAGCACAUAG
Bombina bombina (fire-bellied toad) is the source of this 134-nucleotide small nucleolar RNA. The record is from RefSeq and is a predicted model, not a curated record. NCBI's taxonomy places the organism in Eukaryota, Metazoa, Chordata, Amphibia, Anura, Bombinatoridae.